UACAGAGGUCUCAAGCGUUGUUCGGAUUCAUUGGGCGUAAAGGGUGCGUAGGUGGCGCCGUAAGUCAGGUGUGAAAUCUCGGGGCUCAACCCCGAAACUGCACUUGAUACUGCGGUGCUCGAGUACUGGAGAGGAGAUUGGAAUUUACGGUGUAGCAGUGAAAUGCGUAGAUAUCGUAAGGAAGACCAGUGGCGAAGGCGGGUCUCUGGACAGUUCCUGACGCUGAGGCACGAAGGCCAGGGGAGCAAACGGG
RNAcentral lists this ribosomal RNA (253 nucleotides) under uncultured bacterium. RNAcentral describes it as "partial 16S ribosomal RNA". It matches the Rfam family "Bacterial small subunit ribosomal RNA", at positions 524 to 776 of the family's 1533-position model. The record is from RNAcentral.